Rana temporaria (common frog) is the source of this 597-nucleotide long non-coding RNA. RefSeq lists it as uncharacterized. Lineage: Eukaryota; Metazoa; Chordata; Amphibia; Anura; Ranidae. The record is from RefSeq and is a predicted model, not a curated record. The transcript is spliced from 4 exons.
UAGAAGUAAAUAAAUACAAUAUAAAAAUUGCAGAAACAGAAAAUGCCUUAAACAGAAAAUCUUUUUUCUUUAUUAGAUAACAUAUUUAUCAGCAUAUGACACGCACAUUUAACUCCUGAAAAGCUUUCUGUUAAAGACGGAAGAAAGAGUGAAGAUAAUGUUGAAGAUAAAGUUCUUAAAGGGUCCCAGUAGGUUGCAGUUUGCGCAGUCCUCCUUGAUAUAUCAAUCCCCCUUCAAAUCACAGUGUCCCUUUCACAGUCACGUUCUAAAGAUCAUGCACUUACCCUGAGGAGGAGCAAUGGUCCUGCCAGAAGCCGAUGCUGGAGGGUCUUGAAUGCAGCUUUCUGUUAAAGACGGAAGAAAGAGUGAAGAGUCAAGCUCUAUGAUUUUGACCCCUGCUGCUGAAUCCAGGGACAUCCUCUGCCAGAAGGACAUCUCUUAGCUCCGCCUCCCACUCUCGCAACUUGAUAGGCUUUCCUCGGUUUUGUCCUAGUCGAAGCCUCUGCAUCUUCUUUGUAACCGUUGCCCGACAAUCAUAGAACCUGCAAAUGUACAUAAACAUUACAAUUACAUUAAUAAAAAAACAAAUACUUAGAU